GAUGAACGCUAGCUACAGGCUUAACACAUGCAAGUCGAGGGGCAGCAUGGUCUUAGCUUGCUAAGGCCGAUGGCGACCGGCGCACGGGUGAGUAACACGUAUCCAACCUGCCGUCUACUCUUGGACAGCCUUCUGAAAGGAAGAUUAAUACAAGAUGGCAUCAUGAGUCCGCAUGUUCACAUGAUUAAAGGUAUUCCGGUAGACGAUGGGGAUGCGUUCCAUUAGAUAGUAGGCGGGGUAACGGCCCACCUAGUCUUCGAUGGAUAGGGGUUCUGAGAGGAAGGUCCCCCACAUUGGAACUGAGACACGGUCCAAACUCCUACGGGAGGCAGCAGUGAGGAAUAUUGGUCAAUGGGCGAGAGCCUGAACCAGCCAAGUAGCGUGAAGGAUGACUGCCCUAUGGGUUGUAAACUUCUUUUAUAAAGGAAUAAAGUCGGGUAUGGAUACCCGUUUGCAUGUACUUUAUGAAUAAGGAUCGGCUAACUCCGUGCCAGCAGCCGCGGUAAUACGGAGGAUCCGAGCGUUAUCCGGAUUUAUUGGGUUUAAAGGGAGCGUAGAUGGAUGUUUAAGUCAGUUGUGAAAGUUUGCGGCUCAACCGUAAAAUUGCAGUUGAUACUGGAUAUCUUGAGUGCAGUUGAGGCAGGCGGAAUUCGUGGUGUAGCGGUGAAAUGCUUAGAUAUCACGAAGAACUCCGAUUGCGAAGGCAGCCUGCUAAGCUGCAACUGACAUUGAGGCUCGAAAGUGUGGGUAUCAAACAGGAUUAGAUACCCUGGUAGUCCACACGGUAAACGAUGAAUACUCGCUGUUUGCGAUAUACUGCAAGCGGCCAAGCGAAAGCGUUAAGUAUUCCACCUGGGGAGUACGCCGGCAACGGUGAAACUCAAAGGAAUUGACGGGGGCCCGCACAAGCGGAGGAACAUGUGGUUUAAUUCGAUGAUACGCGAGGAACCUUACCCGGGCUUAAAUUGCAGAUGAAUUACGGUGAAAGCCGUAAGCCGCAAGGCAUCUGUGAAGGUGCUGCAUGGUUGUCGUCAGCUCGUGCCGUGAGGUGUCGGCUUAAGUGUCAUAACGAGCGCAACCCUUGUUGUCAGUUACUAACAGGUUCCGCUGAGGACUCUGACAAGACUGCCAUCGUAAGAUGUGAGGAAGGUGGGGAUGACGUCAAAUCAGCACGGCCCUUACGUCCGGGGCUACACACGUGUUACAAUGGGGGGUACAGAGGGCCGCUACCACGCGAGUGGAUGCCAAUCCCCAAAACCUCUCUCAGUUCGGACUGGAGUCUGCAACCCGACUCCACGAAGCUGGAUUCGCUAGUAAUCGCGCAUCAGCCACGGCGCGGUGAAUACGUUCCCGGGCCUUGUACACACCGCCCGUCAAGCCAUGGGAGCCGGGGGUACCUGAAGUGCGUAACCGCGAGGAGCGCCCUAGGGUAAAACUGG
Molecule: ribosomal RNA, 1439 nt
Filed under: uncultured organism
Description: 16S ribosomal RNA
Rfam family: Bacterial small subunit ribosomal RNA
Source: RNAcentral